This 70-nucleotide transfer RNA is filed under the name Onychiurus orientalis. Its description in RNAcentral is "tRNA-Ser". The record is from RNAcentral. Lineage: Eukaryota; Metazoa; Arthropoda; Collembola; Poduromorpha; Onychiuridae.
AAUUUCUUAACUAUAUGUUAAGUAAAUAUCUUGAAAAUAUUUUAAAGAAGUUGAAGUCUUCUAGAAAUUU